UUCUGCAAUACUUGCCAUGUGAAAAUACAAUCAUGGUAAAUAUGGCUACAUUUGCAUAAUUUACAGUGAUAAUGACAAAUUGUGUCAUUUGUUUUCAGUAAUGCAGAUGCACAUUGCUUCAGAAGCGAUCUUCCCUCGACACCUAGGUCAAAAAUUAGAUUCUGACUCUUGAUCCCACUAAUGUUCUGCCAGCUGGCUUCACCAGGAUCAGAAUUUGGACCCCGGAACAACAUUCUUGGAUUUCUCAGUGUCCCUUUCCACUCAUAAGAUUGGAGCAAGUAUUCAUGAGUGUGAGGAGUCUGUUCAGAGCAUGGGAAUGUUCCAUAUCACACAUGCAUUCAGAAUGCUUGAUAUCUUGAAGGGAGAUGUUCCAAGAACUUGACUGUCCCAUUGAAACAAGCCGAUGCAUUUGGCAGCUCUAUAGGAAACACAACUUUGACCUUGCCAUCUAGAAGGAUGUCAUGUGGUGCUGCAUUAUAUCAACAUCACUUCAGAUCACCUGAAAUAGAGCCAAGCACUUCAGUGAUUGAACGCAUCAUAGCCUCUCUGUGUUUUAUUGGUUAUCAAAAUCUUCACCUUCUUUUAUAGGUCCACAUUUUGCCACCUCUAUAUUGAAUAGAACUGUAACCUACAAGAAGUCCUAUUGAUAUUGGGAUCAAGCUCUCAAUUUGCACUGUUACCAAGGUCAACAAAGCAGCUGUGUGAAGCCUUUCCUAAUAUCCAUGUUUUCUCAAGUAAAUGGUGUUACACUAAGGUAGCAGGUAACAAUGGAAGCAUGCAAACAAUAUGACACCACAGAAAAGUACUGUAAUGAGAACUACUUCCUAUUAAUGUGAUAUUGCUACAUGCUACAGAAGUGGCAGAUGGCUCGGUAGUACCAGUAUUUCCAUUCUGGAUAUAAAGUAAACAAAAAAUAAAUGCACCAUACAUCAGGA
Molecule: non-coding RNA, 935 nt
Organism: Pelodiscus sinensis (Chinese soft-shelled turtle)
Lineage: Eukaryota; Metazoa; Chordata; Testudines; Trionychidae
Source: RefSeq, a predicted model, not a curated record